GGUAGUGAACUUUCAUAACACACUACCAAAGCUGUAGUAACAGUGGUUUCAACUGAAGGGUUGCCUUCAAACGCACCAAACAUUUUGUCAAUGUGAAAACUGGAUUGUGAAAUAUAGAUAGAUGGGGAUAGUUGGGUUGGCAAUACAGGCAAUGUUAUGGUAUUGUCUGUAAGUACGUUAAGGUACAUGAUAACAAUUGUCUGAGUGAUGGCAUCUAAUCUACGAAUCAUGCUUAUACUCAUGGUCAUCUUGUGGAGCCAUGUAACUAUGUCUUUUUCUUGUUGAAAGAUCAAGGUGGAACAUAUGCAAGAGCACGUGAUGAUUGGAAGUUUAUGUACUCUCCAGCACCAGGUGCACGACUAAGAUCUUUUAGAUUCCUUCCAUGUUAUCAUGACUCGGUGGAGAUUCUUAGUCAUUCAAACGGCGAUUUUAUUACUCCACUAUGUUUUUGUGAAUUUUCAUUUCUGAAAGACAUCUAGCCUGCAAAUCUGUACUUGUGCUGCUAUUAUCGAGUAUAUUUGGUUCUUUUGUUGAUAAAUCUUUCUAUAUUCAUUGUUGUUAGUUCUAUUAGGUCACUGUUAUGCAUUGGAAAUAUGUAUGAGAAGGUUAUCUUAAUUAUUCUAGGACCAUCCACUAUUUCAUCUGAUUAUUUUCUGACAGUUUUGUAGCAGUAAUAUCAGUUCUAGGGAAUUGUUAUGUUUUGCUAACAGUCAACUAUGCAAAGCUUCUUGUGGGAGCCCUGGCGUCAGUUUGUCAUUCUUAUGCUUUGUGCAUGUGUUCAAUAAUCCCAAAUGCAGUUAAAGUGAACAAAUCGUCAUGUUUUUUCAGUUUGAUCCUCCCAAUAGUGGUACACUGUUGCUAAUAUACAUGCUUGAAUUGCAUGUGUAUAGGCCAUUAUCAAGAAUAAGGAUGCCUAAAAAUUUCAAGUGUCUUCAUGACAAUACAAUCUAGUUAGAGUUGUUCACAGAUCCUGAGUUCCUGACUUUCAGAAGUUUUCACAAAUAGAAAUAUUGGAGAUUUUAAGAUCUAAUUGUAUUUUAAUAUAAAGUUUUUCAUAUGCACAUCUUGCAUUGUCUGCAAGUUUCCGCAUAUUCCAUAAUACUCUGUAUUUCUGAAUAUCAUGGAUCAAAAUGAUUUUAAUAUUAGCUUAUAAAAAAAUGAUUUUAAUAUCAGAUAUCAUAUCAAGACCCUGUCAAUCUAGCAUCAAUUAUUAGAUUUGCUACUCAGUUGUUACGAAGAACAAUUAUUAUACCAAUAAUGCUGCAUGUAUCACAUGGGUUUGGGUGAGUUAUAUACGUUGGUUCUUUCUUUACAUCUAUGGGGUUCGAUAAAUCCCAAAUUCAAAUUGAAUUGUGAUGUUUUAAGUGUUUCUAGAUUGAUUUGAGAUGGUUUAAGAAUGAACAAGAGCUUUUGUGAUGAAUUGAUGUUAGUACUUUGGUUAUAUGCUCUGUUACUUGCUCCUUUGCAUAGCUUUGAUAGAUCUUGCAUACAAGGUUCAUUAUGAGUCGGGUGGGUCAAGGAAGGUGAAGAGUGGAUUCCUUUCUUCAUAGGGCGUAGCCAGUGCGUUUUUAGUGAUUUAAUUUGCUAUACAAACUAAAUUCUGGAAUCUACAGUUGGUCUUUUAUGCUCUCUGGUUAACAAAAACAGAAAGGUACAGGCAGUGUGCUUUGAAAGGUACAAGCAGUUUUCAGAUAUCGAUAUUGAACAAGAAGAAGAAUGUGGAAUUUGCAUGGAGAUGAAUCGUAAAAUGGUAUUGCCCAACCACAACCAUGCUAUGUGCAUGAAGUGUUACCGUGAAAUCGUGAAUAGUUACCCCUUAACCUUUGUGUGCAAGUGGAGAUAAUGAAGCUGGCAUCUUUGUUUGGUUAUUAGUUCAUAUUUGUUUGGACUUUCUGGAACUGAAUAUCUUUAUAUUUUCAGGUACUUACAUUUAUACCUAUCUUUUCAUCCAUUUACUUACAGAUUGCAUGAUUUGUAUUUUCCUUUUCA
RNAcentral lists this long non-coding RNA (1989 nucleotides) under Aquilegia coerulea. RNAcentral describes it as "long non-coding RNA (ACOE_LNC000179)". The record is from RNAcentral. Lineage: Eukaryota; Viridiplantae; Streptophyta; Magnoliopsida; Ranunculales; Ranunculaceae.